GUGAAAGAGGAGUCGCCGGGACGAGCGGGCCGCUGGGAAAAUCCAGCGCCGGGCAGCCGGGGGACGACCAGUGCCGGGCCGCGGCGGGCACCGCCGCCCAGGUCAUCUCGCGCCGCCAACCAUUGAACGGAGCUAGACCAGGCAAGAUUAGGGUCAGGUUUGGGGCAGCAAAUAAGCGUCAGGUGUUUGUGGACAAUCAGCCAUUAUGCAGAACUACAGCAAGCUCAACAAGCUGCCCACAAUCAUUGAAGAGGACGAAAUAGACAGGGCGACGGGUAUAAUGGCCCUACUUUCAGAUGUUCAGUUCAGAAGGUGUACUCUGUUAUUUCGCAGUUUGACCAACAGAAACGAGAAAUCGUUAACUCUAUGGGUUGGGGUGGCACUCUAUCCAUGCCUCUGAUCAGCAAACUAAGCGUCAGACAUAUGGUCUGGCUUCUAGGGAUGGUGGAUGAGGUCAGACAAGCCAUUGUACUGGGACCGAAUAAGGUUUUUAAGUUCAAUGAGAGUGAUGUUGAGAAGGUAUUCGGGAUCCCAGCAGCUGGAACAGAUGUCAUGGACAGAACUCUUGAUAGGAGUGACACUGUAUAUGCAUACUUGCGUGGUCGUUUGGGGAUAGAGAACAAGGAGGUAAGAAGUCUGAAGAGCAUACAGUCCAUACUGUCACGUGACUACAAGGGGAAGAUGUCACAAACAGAGGUGGCUGCAUUCAAAACUGCGUACAUCGUAUUCAUGAUGACACAUGUAUUUGCACCGACAGUCAAGAAUGACUACUUCUACACUGAUUAUUGGCCAGCACUGGUCGGCCCGGAUAGCUUGGAUAAGUUCAAUGGGGAAGAUAUAUUGUUGAAGUACUGUGCGCAGCCGCCGUUAAGAUGAAACAAGAUAUUCGCAGGAAAGCCACGGUGUCGAACAUAACAGGAUGUCUGCUCUUCCUACAGGUUUUCUAUCUAGACAACAUUCAGUUGGGGGACUUAAGCAUGACACAUGAUGUGUUCCCCAGAAUUAAAGCUUUCACCGCGGAUAAAAUUAGAGCCAUGAUCAAUGCCGACAAAAGGCCAAUGGAUUCAUCGAAAAACGGAGAUUUCAUUUAUGGAAUUCCAG
This is a long non-coding RNA of Triticum aestivum (bread wheat), 1101 nucleotides long. RefSeq lists it as uncharacterized. Lineage: Eukaryota; Viridiplantae; Streptophyta; Magnoliopsida; Poales; Poaceae. The record is from RefSeq and is a predicted model, not a curated record. The transcript has 4 exons.